Molecule: long non-coding RNA, 1795 nt
Filed under: Phoenix dactylifera (date palm)
Lineage: Eukaryota; Viridiplantae; Streptophyta; Magnoliopsida; Arecales; Arecaceae
Description: long non-coding RNA (PDAC_LNC010343)
Source: RNAcentral
UCUCCUCUUUCCCCUAGAUUGCCACACGGCGCAAGGAGAGCCCUUGAUUUUCUCCAAUUCCUUUUAAGUAAGAGGCGUGGAAGAAUUAAGUAAGAGGUGUACAAGAAUUAAGUAAGGUGUGUGGUAGAAUUUGGAGGGAUGAAUCAAGGAGUGAUUUUUCAUUGAAAUUAUUCCUUGUUUAGAUAGGCAUGAGAUGCCUAUAAAAGGAGGGAUGGUGUUAGGGCUUAGAAGCAUUGGAUGUGCCUUGAUUCAGCCGCCCACCCCCUUCCUCCUAUCCUUCCUGGCAUGAGCAAGAAAAAGGGAAGAGAAGCAGCGCCAUCUUCUUCCUCUUCGUCCUUCUUUUUCCUUCCUCUCAAAGCAAUCAAGGAGUUGAUUGAAAGAGAGAGAAAAUUAGCUAUCAAAAGAGGAUCUCUGUAAGGGAGCUAGCACCCCGGUGAGAUCAAGGUUCUUGGAGCGAUCUACCUCGUGUGGAUACCUAUAGAGGUCGGACGCUUGUGCGGCUUCAAGCGAACCAAAUCAUCGAUCAUCUGAUAGCGGUGAAGAUCUACCCGCUCAAAGGUAAAGAUAUGAUCUUUAUAAUUCUGAAUAGUAGAUCUGAAAAUUAAUCAAGUUAGUAAUUUUAAUCUUUCCUUAGAUUUCAUAAUUUUUUGAGUUAGAGAACUCAGAAUUUUUUAAAAUCUACGUUUCCUAGAACUUUCAUGAGAUGAACGACCCCGCACGUGUCUUUUCACUGCGAUCGUCGCAUCGCGUGCGGGGGUAACCUGACAAUAGAGACUAAAACCGGAUUCCCAACCAAUCGCCAAAGCAAAAUAACCAAAUCAAUUAAAAAAUUUGAUGUCGCAAAGUAGAGUCCUCAUCCAAGCCAUUUAUCUGUGAAGAAAACACAAAAAAAGACUGUCACCAUGUUGUAAAAAAUCAUGAUAAUGUUAACCACACAAGACAAUCUACUAUUCAUGGGAUUAAGCAAAGAAAACAUUAAAAAAAAUAUCAGUACUUUUUUAUGGAAUUUAGACAUGAAGGGUUGAAUAAUGUGGGUGCAUUGAAUAUGAUGGGAGGAAAAGCUAGUGUCUUGAAAAGAUGGCUUAGCAGGACAGCUCACAAAAGUUGAUAAAGAAACAAUUGAAGUGACACAAAACGCACAUUUUAAUUUAAUUUUUUCCCUCUGAUGGCUAAGAAGUUGAUUUUGUGGGUGAGGAGGCAGGGAGGCUUGUACUUGGACAUAGCUGAGAAUAGAAAUCUAAGCAUUUUGAGGAAAAAAUCAGAAAAAACAUAAAAUUUUAUAAGUGAAACCUGGGGCAAUAUAAAAACUCUAGCUAGAAAUUGAGAGAAGGUGAGCAUUGGUGCGGCAUCGAGGUUGCUUCAUUGUGAUCUGGAGGUCACGGGUUCGAAAUAUGGAAAUAAACUCUCCACAUGUGGGGGUAAGGCUGCGUAUAUCUGACCCUCACUAAACCUGCAAUGCUGGGAACCUCGUGCACUGGGUUGCCUUUCUGGCUAGAAAUUAAGACCACAAACAAGCAAGUUAGAAAUCCCUAAGCUAUAAUUCAAAGAGAAGAAAGAAAACUAACAGAUGAAGCAAUUUCUUACCAAAAGCCCUAAAAUGACAUUGUUGAGAUCAAAAGCUGGAACAAAGGAAGCAACUUUAGGGGAAAAUCUAGUCAAGAGCAUAUUGUACUUUAGGGUGCAAUGAGGACCAAAUGGUAGUAAAGAAGCAAGAGCAGCAAUUAAUCCUCAAGACUAUGCUGAAGGACAAAGCUAUGCAGGAAUUGAUGCAUUAUUUGAGCAUGGAGGAUUAGGG